Molecule: ribosomal RNA, 119 nt
Filed under: Pteropus alecto (black flying fox)
Lineage: Eukaryota; Metazoa; Chordata; Mammalia; Chiroptera; Pteropodidae
Source: RNAcentral
GUCUACGGCCAUGCUACCCUGAACGUGCCUGAUCUCAUCUGAUCUCAGAAGCUAAGCAGGGUUGGGCCUGGUUAGUACUUGGAUGGGAGACCACCUAGGAAUACCAGGUGCUGUAGAUG